UUUAUCAAUUUGGAACCCUAAAAAACUCAGAACUCAUUCGCUUCCGUCGUGCUACGCGCUUCUCCAUCGAACGUCAAAUCUCGCCGGAAUUAGGUCAAAGGAGAGAGAAAAACAAUGGAGUGGGUCAGAGAUCAAGUCGAUGCUAUCAAUUCAGAUCAGACAACUUCUCAAUCAAGCUGCUAGUCAUGAGGAAUUGAGCAAUGUUCAAAUUCUGAAUUUCGAAAUUCUGCAUUUGUUGAAGUUGAUGGCGUGCAAUCGAAGGAUUUAGUAAAUUGUAGUCGAAUUCGAUAGCUUUAGUUGAAGAAUCCUGUGAAGUUAGGAUUUGCAUGCCUGCUCUUGCUGGAAAGGCCGGGAAAAGAAUGGAUACCCUUUUGGUGCCCUUGGAGCUGUUAUGCUGUAUUUCACGCACAGAAUUCUCUGACAAAAAGGCAUACAUACGGUGGCAGAAAAGACAGUUAAACAUGUUGGAGGAGGGGCUGAUUAAUUAUCCUGUUGUCGGUUUUGGAGAAUCCGAACGGAAGGCCAAUGAAAUUAGGAUUCUUCUAGCUAAAAUCGAGGAAUAUGAGGUGUUGAAGCAGCUUCACCUUGAAGCUCAUGAACUUACGCUUCACGAUGAUGAUAUUGAGAGGGUUCAAAGGCCUUGGGAACUUGCCCUGCCGAUCAUAAGAUAGGAAAGCCACGUCCUUUGUUCAGGAAAUUGGUUGGAACUGUCGUGGUUACAAGGAGUGAUGGGAGGAUGGCACUUAGAAGACUAGGUGCACUUUGUGAGCAGGUAAAGUAACUUGUUCUUUCCAAGUUUUACCUUGUGUUAGCAUCUGUAGGUUCUUUCACCUGAUUAUAAUAUCUGGUAGAUCUUACUCACAUUUAAUCCACACU
Molecule: long non-coding RNA, 876 nt
Organism: Beta vulgaris subsp. vulgaris (sugar beet)
Lineage: Eukaryota; Viridiplantae; Streptophyta; Magnoliopsida; Caryophyllales; Amaranthaceae
Exons: 5
Source: RefSeq, a predicted model, not a curated record